UCGAACUCCUGACCUUAGGUGAUCAGCCCGCCUUGGCUUCCCAAAGUGCUGGGAUUACAGGUGUGAGCCACUGCGCCUGGCCAAACUUAAACAAUUUUUAAUAACGAUCUCAAAAUUACUAUGCAUGGUGGAAAAUGGAAGUAUUUGAUUAUCACUGACAAUGAUAAAAGUUUCACAUUUUUAGAUGGUAAAUCACAUAUGUAUAUUUUACUUCUAACCCAAAAUUUUUUAAGUUUAAUAUUUUUAUGGAUUUUUCAAUUUUCAUAGACAUUUUAUUUUUAAUAACCCUGUGUCUGUGACAAAGCAUCACAGCUUUGGUGUGGGUUAACUCCUGGUGACGUCCACACAUUUGGGCAAGUUCUAAAACGUCGGUGCCUUCACCUCCAUGGAGAGUCAGGUACCAUUAGGCACAGGUGGGGUUUGAUGUAGGGUGGGUUCCCAGCAGCCGACGGCUUCCUUCACAUUAGCUUCCAUGGCAGGUGUUUUUGGACCUGAUUCUUUGGUGUGUAGAUGCGUGAUCCAAACAGUAGAUGUAAUUGUCACUCAGCAAGUAUCGAGCCCCUCCUCCUUCUGCUGCAUGGGAUACAUUUUCCCUCUUGGGAAAUCUGGGUCUGGUCAUGCAUCUGCUAGUCGAGUGCUAGAGGGCGUGGUGUGAGCCGUAGCCCCGUAGAUCCUGGAUCUGGACACACGCGCCAUGAUCUGGCCUGGACAGCUGCCGCCCUUCAGCCUGGACUUCCCAUCACACCUCACAGUCCAGACUCCAGUUCAGCUUUCAGCUUUGCAACCGAGCUGCCCAGAAAAGCCCAGAGCUGGAGGAGCAGAACUGCAGCCGCCCUGCAGGUUUGUGAGAGUGAGAAUGAACACUCCUCAUAGAAAACUAGCGGGCCUGGGGAUAGUGUUUUCCCCAGCUCCAUCGUAGUAACACUGGACUGAUGGAUUACACGUUGGCCUCGUCAGAACCAUGACGAGAAUGUGGAAGCUGUGCACAAGUAAAAAGUUUACCCAAGAUCCAACAUUUAUUGAAUUUAAAAUAAACGUUAUAUAGGUGGACUUCACUGUGAUCUCCUCAAAUAAUGCAUUUGUUAGAAUAUAUUCACCUGAGACCUCAGAAAGCGCUGGAAGAAAAUAAGAAACUUAAGAGUGGAAACCAUGAAUGUAGGUACUUUUCUUUGUAAAGACAGAAUUUUAGAGCAAGAAGGAAAGCUAAAUUGCAUCUAGCCUGGUAGUUUCUGUCUUGGUCUACCGUUUUUCUUACAGGUUUUCAAAGCUAGUAGUGGGGGUCUGAGACCUGUCUAUAGUCGCUGAAGAAGCCUGAAUGAGCCGCACACCUGCCCUGCAUGGUGCACACAAGAGGCCAGUUCCAAGGACACCCAGCUGGCCAUGUGACAAAGGACUCUGGGUCCCUGGAGACUCACCUGCUGAGUCUGUGCUCCCUUUGAGGGUGCAGUUGUGAAUGGGACAUGAACAUGCCUCUCUGCUCUGCAGGGUGGAACCUCAACCAACCUCACACCUCCCUCAAGCUCAUGGUCCUGAUGCUGAAACUUGGGGCAGUUCAAAAAGCCAGUGGCUUUGCCCAAGCCAACUUCUUCACAUCCACAGAACAGGAAGUGCCUCUCCUGGGGGCAGCAGAGCCAGGUGAGGGUCUUUCUUCUGCAGGAAGGGGACCCGAUUGGGGGUGAACCUGGACCCUGCGCCCUGCGUGGGAACCCUUGAUGACGGGACACUGAACCCCCUUUCCAGGUGCCUGCACACCCCAUCGUUGGGUCUCUGCAAGUCUUCCAGGCCCCAUAGGGUGAGAGCCUUGGCCUGACUCCCAAACUUGGACUCCAAAUCUUGCCUGCUGUUGGCUGGUCUGUGAAGGACUUCAUUUAAUGUAGGCUCAAGAGUUCCUUACGUAGGUCAUCGCUUUGUGAGAUGUGAGAAAUCAUCACAAUUAGUGACCACAUGCAGAACGAGAGCCACAGCGUGCUGUCUG
RNAcentral lists this long non-coding RNA (1975 nucleotides) under Homo sapiens (human). RNAcentral's name for it is "HSALNT0279213". Lineage: Eukaryota; Metazoa; Chordata; Mammalia; Primates; Hominidae. The record is from RNAcentral.